Molecule: ribosomal RNA, 253 nt
Filed under: uncultured bacterium
Lineage: Bacteria
Description: partial 16S ribosomal RNA
Rfam family: Bacterial small subunit ribosomal RNA
Source: RNAcentral
CACGUAGGGUGCGAGCGUUGUCCGGAAUUAUUGGGCGUAAAGAGCUCGUAGGCGGUGUGUCGCGUCGGCCGUGAAAACUCGGGGCUUAACUCCGGGCCUGCAGUGGGUACGGGCAGACUAGAGUGUGGUAGGGGAGACUGGAAUUCCUGGUGUAGCGGUGAAAUGCGCAGAUAUCAGGAGGAACACCGGUGGCGAAGGCGGGUCUCUGGGCCGAUACUGACGCUGAGGAGCGAAAGCGUGGGGAGCGAACAGG